RNAcentral lists this ribosomal RNA (468 nucleotides) under uncultured bacterium. RNAcentral describes it as "partial 16S ribosomal RNA". It matches the Rfam family "Bacterial small subunit ribosomal RNA", at positions 28 to 507 of the family's 1533-position model. The record is from RNAcentral.
GACGAACGCUGGCGGCGUGCUUAAUACAUGCAAGUCGAACGAAAAGGCCCUGCUCUUGUUGGGUGCUCGAUUGGCGAAGGCGUGAGUAACACGCGUGUAUCCUGUCCCUGACUUUGGGGUAACUUCUGGGAACUCGGGCUAAUAUCGGGUAGGAGCUACUGCUCCAUGGUGUGGGAUGGAUAGUGUCGGUGGUUGUGGAUGGACUCGCGGCUUAUGAGCUUGUUUGUGGAGUAGUGGCUUACUAGGGCUUUGACGGGUAGGCGGCCUGGGAGGGUGAACGGCGACCAUGGGACUGAGGUACGGCCCAGUCUCCUACGGGAGGCAACAGUGGGGAGUAUUGCACAAUGGGCGGAAGCCUGAUGCAGCAACGCCGCGUGCGGGAUGACGGCCUUCGGGUUGAAAACCGCUUUCGCCUGUGCCGAAGCGUGAGUGACGGUAAUGGGUAAAGAAGCACCGGCUAACUACGUG